This is a long non-coding RNA of Pieris brassicae (large cabbage white), 198 nucleotides long. RefSeq lists it as uncharacterized. NCBI's taxonomy places the organism in Eukaryota, Metazoa, Arthropoda, Insecta, Lepidoptera, Pieridae. The record is from RefSeq and is a predicted model, not a curated record. The transcript is spliced from 3 exons.
UCGUGCUUCCGCUCGAGCCGCUCGCAGCUUGGUCGCUGCCCCAUACACCGUCGCAGGAGCCGUCAAGAUACGAAGCCCAAUUCUUGAUGCUACAUUUUUAUGGGAGUUACGGCCAACAGCAAAAUUCAGAGCUCGAAGUCCGCUCUGUGUUUCUUAAUUGUGACCUUGAGGACGUCAUCUCCUUUCCCGAUAAUGAAG